AAAAAGAUAGCGAGAAGAAAGUUGAAACCAUUUUGAGAAAACGUCAAGAAAUCAAAAGUAGGCAGUUAUUACAGCAAGAUAAAUAUCAACACUCGAACACCAAAGAAAAAGAUAGCGAGAAGAAAGUUGAAACCAUUUUGAGAAAACGUCAAGAAAUCAAAAGUAGGCAGUUAUUACAGCAAGAUAAAUAUCAACACUCGGACACCAAAGCGCAAGAAAGACAUAUCAGGGAGGUAUUAAACCCCUUUGGGUUAAAAGGUCAAGAUAUUAAAAAAUUGGAGUUACUAGUAUUGGAACCUACAUUACAGCAAGAUAAACAUAAGCUCUCUAUAACAAAAGAAACCAUCGAAGAAACAGUUGCAACUGCAGAAGCUAUCCCAAACGAGCUAGACCAACCAGUGACAAGGAACCCAAACGAGCUAGACCAACCAGUGACAGGGAAACAGAAUCAGAAUAUUCGGAACUAAACAGCAGUCUUGAUGGGACUGAUUUCAAAUUGCUCAAUUUCUGAAUGAAGAACAUUUUUUACGACUAAGAAGCUAAUUAAGUAAUUUGUAAGUCACUGGAAAUCGAAUUUUUAACAAACAAAUGACGAUAUGUCCAAAAUCAAUCAUGACAAAGUUGUAGGUGUCUUACCAUAUUGUGGCAUAUUUCUGCCAACAGGUAAUCAUAUUAUUAUCGCAUUUAUUAUCGCCAUAUAAUCCUGUUAGAUAGAUAAAUGACGAAUAAGUAUCUAACUGUCAAAAACACUAAAAAGUGCCGAGAACUGUAAACACUUACCUGUAAAAUAAAAGAUAGUUAAAUGUUUAUCUAUAAAACUUUUGUUUGUUAACUUUGGUAUCAGAUAAUUAUUUGUAUAACUAGAUAAACUUUUAGUUAAUAGGUAAUGCGGAAUGUUUCGGCCCUAUCCCUUGUCUUUUUCAACGCAUUAAAUGGUUAUCUAAACAAAAAAUUCUGUUACCAGUUCAAUCACAGAUAAUUAUCGUCUAUCAAAUUCAUUUUCCUGUUAGGUAGUUAGUAAUUUAGUAUGAAAGAUUUAAGAUAAUUAUCUGUAUAACUAGUUAAUUUUUCAUAAAACAGAUAAUAUUUAUUGCAAAAUAUUUUGUACACAUUCCUCCAAAGGGUGGAACCUAUUUGUUUUGGCAAUUUUAGCGGAAGGGUUACAUAUUUUUUAAUAUAUUGCACAAUUCUUGGCGAGUAUCAGUAAAGUUAUCCUAUGAUUAUAAACCCAUUUUGAAAGGGAUAGUUUCUAUGGGUAGGACAUGGUUAAUUGGUUAUUUAAGAAAUAUGGCUUUUGUUUAGAGAAGUGGUAUACAUUGUGCUCUUUAAAUUACCAUCAGACAAUUUUAAUAAUUAUAUAAAAGAAACUUUUUCUACAAGAUAAUUCUACCUUUGGCCAUUAAUAUGCACAUUUAAAUAAACAUGAAACAGAAAUAAAGUCUAAAACUAUGACAUUAUACACUGUGAAUGUAAAUAUAUACAUUAUAUUGAUAACCAAAUGAAAAACAAUAAAUUAUUAUCACUAUUUGCGAUAAUAGGCUAAACUUAAUUCUACGGAAUACCGUUAGGGCCGUCGUUGAUUACUAUAAUCUACAGGGCGACAAUGUGACAGUGAGAUAAUGACCAUAUAUUUUUGCAACUUCAAAGAGGAAAACCGUCUUUUCACUGGAAUUUUCUGCUGAUAAAAGGACUGGCAUACAGUUUUUAUAGAUGCAAAUAUAGUCACAAAUUAUCAUAUAGACUUAUGAGAGAUUCAUUUUCGUAAGAAAACAAUAAAGUGUUGGUUUUUAAAAAGGGGUUUCAUAAUUACAAGCGUCUAAUUUUCCUGAAAAUCACCUCAUGUCUUACGGUAUAAUCUGUUUUUUCCUGCACUUUUUAAGCCAAUCGCUGGCUAUGUUACAAUACGAAAGUCUGGCCGUUAUUUUGGAUUUCGGUCUAUAUAGGGUGGACCUUGGUAAAGUAACCUCCCACGGAAAGUGUUUAAGGUAUUCCGCAUUACUAGUAUCUAUUAACUAAAAAUUUAAUAGUUAUACAGAUAAUUGUCUUAUAUCUUUCAUACUAACUGAUCUGACUAAGUAACUAAUGGAAAAAUUAGUUUGAUAGUCGGAUAAUUAUCAUAUAUUGCAUAUUCUUUGUAUGGGGACACUUAAUCUUGAAAUGUUCUCAGUUAUUGGUUAUUAUUGUUUGAUAAACACUGAUUUCAUUUUGAUUCAUUAAGAAAAUCAAAAUCACAUUGGUAUAAGUGUUUAUGAUUCCUCGAAAAGUUAUAUAUUCUGAGAGCUCUGCUUUGACUCUAUCAUCAAAACCAUUUACUGUGAAAAUAAACAAUUAUUUCAAAAUGAAUAUCAUUUUAUUUUCAUUUUAUAUUUCUUAUGUUUUAUUUAAUUUUGGAUUUGAAUGUAAUACAUCUUGUAGCCCAGAGCUACAAGAUAUAGAUUUAGCAUGUACAUAGUUAUAAAUAUAUAGAGGAUAUUGAAUGAGUGUAGUUUAAUACUACAUUUAUUGAACAAGUUGAAUAAAAUCAUAUUAUGCGAGCCUCUGGCGAGCAUAAUAUUGUUUUAUUCAACGAGUUCAAUAAAUUUAGUAAUGAAUCUACACGAAUAUAGUAUUCUUUUUAUCACAUAUAUAAAAUAAGAACAAUAAACUGUUGAAAUGAGUAAUUUUUCAAUGACGCGCCCAUCGUGUAACGCUAACAUUAGCGUGCGUUAACGCUAUGUUUAUAUAUAGAGUAAAUGCAGUCACGUCAACGUGAUAUUAUUCUAGUGUAAUAACGUUUU
Molecule: long non-coding RNA, 2777 nt
Organism: Ruditapes philippinarum (Manila clam)
Lineage: Eukaryota; Metazoa; Mollusca; Bivalvia; Venerida; Veneridae
Exons: 4
Source: RefSeq, a predicted model, not a curated record